CUGGUCUCGAACUCUUGACGUCAGGUGAUCCACCCGCCCUGGCCAGCCAAAAUGAUGGGAUCAGAGGCGUGAGCCAUCGCGCCCGACUGAUCUUUUAGGAUUUCAGCAUUUGGGACUACGGCAUUCGUGAUUGUGUCUUUUGGAAUUAUGAUUGGCUCCCAUUGUAAAGGCUAAAUGAAAUAAUGAAAUACGGUGGCACAGUGGCUGACAUACAGUAGGUGCUCUAAAAAUGGCGUGACACUUUAUGUGCACAGGUUAUCUGUGUCUGCCAGUGGAAUGUAAGAUCUCUGAAGGGAGAGGUUUUAUGUAACUUAUGCAGUGCUGAAGCUAUAGCACCUAGAAAAAUAUCUGACACUUUGUUGAAUGAGUUUACAGAAUAAUAGGAUCAAUGUGGCAAGUUUAUAAGCGAUGAGAGAGACCUGAAUAUGAUUAAAUAGUGAUAAGAAGGAAACAGUGAAGAGAAUGAAGAUCCGGGUUCCUGCAGAGGUGACAGAGGUUGGAGAAUCAGGGCUCAGGGGAAGGAACUGACCUCAGAAAGAAGACAGUACACAAGUGCCAGGACUUGAUGACUCAUUAGAUAUCUGGUUGAGAGGGGAAGGAGAAAGAAUAACUCCCAGAUUUCUUGCUUGGGUGAGAAUGGAUAGUGGUGCCAUUUCCUGAAAUAAGAACAUAGGCUGAUUAGAUUUGUUGGAAAUUCGGUGAGUUGGAUACACUGAACUUGAGAUGCUUUUGAGUCAUCCAAGUGGAGCUGUCCAGCAGGAAGUUUGGUAUUUGGGUCUAGAGAUCAGUAGAGAUGUGGGCUAGAGAGAUUGAGAGUCAUCAGCACAUACGAUGUUAGCUAAAGCAGUGGAGUGAGAAGAGAGGAGAGCUAUAACUGAAACCCGGCAAACACCAACAUGUAAGGACGGGUACAGGAAAAGAAGAUCUCCUGCAAUAGAGACUGAGAAGGAACAGAGAGGUAGGAGAACUGGGAGGGAGUUUGAACAAAGAAUUAAGGAGAAGAGAGAGUUUCAAAAUGGAGGAAGAGAUCAAUACUGCCAAAUGCUUCAGAGACAUCAUAAAAAGAGAAGGACUAUCUAUCUGUCGGAUUUGUCAGUGCUUUUUGGUGGUCUGGAUUAGAGCAUUCUGAGGAGGAGAGAAGCGAGAGUGGAGGCCAGACUACAUGGAUUAAGACUUAGAGGGACAUGAGGGAGCGGAGAAGGUAACUGUAGCAAGUCUUGCACAUUCCUGGUGGGGGUAUGGGAGUGCCCAGUGUGCUCUCAGCCUAGAAGGACAACGAUUCUGCAGAAGUAGAGAAGUAGAUGGUAUUCUAUUCUCCUCCGUAAUUUAUGGUAUGGGACAAAAUUUGUCAAGGAUGCCUCUCAAUCUUACCACUCCUCCCUGGUGUUGUAGUGAUAAAAAUCCCAGAAUCUUUUUCUGGAAGGGCAGAGACGGAGGGGCUUUGUAAUGUGGGGAUACCAGAUACUCAGCUACACUGGCCAGGAGCCCACAAGCUUUCAAAGUCCCCAGGGCAGUGCAAUAGGUCUCCUGUACCUUCUCAUGCAAGGGUCCCAAAUCAGGCAGCUGGGACUGUGUGUCAACUCUCUAGACUUCCUGCUUCAGAGCUCUGCAAAGUUUCAAGGGCCAUCUUUGCACCUGGAAACUCAGCCAGCUUGGACCACAGCAAUGAUUCCUUAGCAGUAUGUGAAUCACAGACGCACAGUCACAGAUACACACUACACACCCCAGCCUUCCUAAAACAAAAUGCAUCUCAAGAGAAGUGUGGUUUUCCUCUGUAGAGCUGGGUAAGGGAACCAUUUCCACAUCAGCACCUCAUUAGCUACUACCAGGCAUCUGGUAGGCCUCGGUACUUUGGCCACUAGCCAGCCUGCCCAUGAAACAGCAGCUGUGAGAGGAAGUAGAGAGCGGUUGUUAAAUAUGUGGGCUUAGGUUCAAAACCUAGUUUUAUCACUUCCUAUCUGUGUGACCUCGGGCAAACUGCUUGACUUCUCGAUGCCUCUAGUUCCUCGUAUUUAAAACUUGACUAACAAGGGUUAGUCUCAUUAUACAAUUGUUGGGAGAAUUAAAACAGAAGAAAUAGGAAAAAGUUUCAGCACGGGACCUCAUCCAAAGUAAACAUCAGUAGGUGUGAGCUAUCAUUGUCACUGCUGCUAGUAUCACUCUGCAGCACGGACGUGGCAUGGAUUAGGGCUCUGCUUUCUGCUGAAACUGUUGGCCACAGGCUUAGCCUGUAGGCACCUCACUUUCUCCCAAUACUGAGUGGCCCCACUGACCACCAACUAAAAGAUAUGACACUCAAUCAUGUCUUUCACCAAAGCACAAACAGCCACUCAAAUGUAUGAGGCAAAAUAUUCGCAGGAAAAUGGGGUAUGCCAAUUAUGUGUCAAUUUAGGUUUUACGAGUUAUAUUUUUUCUUUUUAAAGAAAACAUUCAAAAUGUUUACUGUGACCUACUCUAGGAUCUUUAUUUUUCUUCCUGAAAAAUAACUUAUCUAAUUAUAAAGAAAGCUACUGAGAAAACAGAAUUCACUCAAUUGUCUAACAUUAAAUGUUGUUGAAAUGAUCUAACAUUUAUGGCCCCAAGACACAUCCUCUCAUUUCAUUCUCGACUAAUGAGUGAAGUAAGGCUCAGACUUUUCCAAGAUCACGCAGCCUGUGAAGUGAGAAAGCUGUGAGAACUUUCAGUCUCCAAAUCUUCAUCUCCUUUCAAUCUAUCAUAUAUUGGAAUAUGUCACAAUAGUUUUCUUCAGUAACUCUCUCCACUAAAAGAGUGUCUUAUCAACAUUUCCCACAUCCUUACACUCUCAACCUCUGGAGGGCAGAAUUAAUUUCCAUUCGCAAUACAAAUGCCAAGUGUCUACUGUGUGCUAAAGGCUCUGCUAGGUGUUGGCGGCCAUGAAUAGACCAUGCCUCUGUGCGAGAAGUUCACAGUCUCUAUGGGAGAAGAAAUACCAGCCAAUAGUUAUGUACAUAAUAACAAAGCUAUGUGUGAGGCACUGCGGUGGUGCACAGGGUAGGGGAAAGAGUAAUGGAGUGUAUUUCUAGGUAAGGGAAGACUUUGCAUUCCAUGAGACCAAACAGAUCGAAAAGCCCUAACUCAAAAUUUAGAGUAAAACAAGUGCUCAAUAAAUCUGAGUUCCUUUGGACCUACUGCCAUCCCCUCCCCAUCUCUCUAAUUAGAGGAAGAUGUAUCCAAGUGAGCAAUAUUCGAGGGAGAAAAGGAGGCCUUUUCAGCAGAGAGUACAAAAGUGUGACAGCAAACAGGCUAGCUUCCCAGAGAAGCAGGACUUUGGUCUGGACGGGCGGGCACAUCGGCACCCCUUCCUUUACACUGCCUGCUCCCUAGUCUGCACCUAGGGAUGGGAGUCAAUGACUAGGUGGGUCAUUCAGGGAAGAGUGAACCAUAGGAAAAGAGAAUGUAUGCUUCACACAGCAUUUGGGAAUUUUUUUUAAAAGGUAAGAUUUAGGUCAAGCCUAAGCCUGGUGCGAGGGGUGCACCUAGCAGAGCACUAGCAGUCCUGCACCAAGUUUGGGAUUUGGGGUUGGUGCGACAAGUCACGUGGUUGGCGCGUGGCAGUGUGCGGGGCAUUGGGUCUGUGGGUCUGGGACUCUAGUGGCACUGGCGGUGGCGUGGGACUGAGGCUAGGCACGUGUGCAGGGUCAUGUUCUGGCAGCUUCGAACCCAUGCAAUGGUGAUGCCAGUCAAUGGGGCCCACAAGGAUGCUGACCUGUGGUCCUCACAUGACAAGAUGCUGGCACAGCCCCUCAAAGACAGUGAUGUUGAGGUUUACAACAUCAUUAAGAAGGAGAGUACUGGCAGAGGGUUGGAUUGCAGCUGAUUACCUCAGAGAAAUUUGCCAGCCGAGCAGUUUUGGAGGCCCUAGGCUCUUGCUUAAAUAACAAAUACUCUGAGGGGUACCCGGGCCAGAGAUACUAAGGCAGGACUGAGUUUACUGAUGAGCUGGAAACCCUCUGUCAGAAGCGAGCCCUGCAGGCCUAUAAGCUGGACCCACAGUGCUGGGGGGCUCAACGUCCAGCCUUGCUCAGGCUCCCCUGCAAACUUCGAGUGUACACUGGGCCUGGACCUGCCAGAUGGGGGCCACCUGACCCACGGGUUCAUGACAGACAAGAAGAAAAUCUCUGCCACAUCCAUCUUCUUUGAAUCUAUGCCCUAUAAGGUGAACCUAGACACUGGCUACAUCAACUAUGACCAGCUGGAGGAGAAUGCCCGCCUUUUCCACCUGAAGCUGAUCACUGCAGGAACCAGCUGCUGCUCCUAAAACCUGGACUAUGCCCGCCUGCGGAAAGACUGUAGAUGAGAAUGGAGUGUAUCUCAUGGUGGACAUGGCACAUAUCAGCAGGCUGGUGGCAGCUGGCGUGGUGCCCUCCCCAUUUAAACACUGCCACAUGCUGACCACCACCACUCACAAGAACCUGAGAGGCUGCUGAGCCGGCAUGAUCUACGGGAAAGGAGUGCAACGUAUGGAUCCCAAGACUGGCAAAGAGAUUCUGUACUACCUGGAGUCUCUCAUCAACUCUGCUGUGUUCCCUGGCCUUCAGGGAGGUCCCCACAACCAUGCCAUUGCUGGGGUUGCUGUGACCCUGAAGCAAGCUGUGACUCUGGAAUUUGAAGUUUAUCAGCACCAGGUGGUGGCCAACUGCAGGGCUCUGUCUGAGGCACUGACGGAGCUGGGCUGCAAAACAGUCACAGGUGGUUCUGACAACCAUUUGAUCUCCAUUCAAUCAAAGGCACAGAUGGCAGAAGGGCUGAGAAGGUCCUAGAAGCCUGUUCUAUUGCCUGCAACAAGAACACCUGCCCAGGUGACAGAAGCGCUCCACGGCCCAGUGGACUGCGGCUGGGGACCCCAGCACUGACAUCCCUCGGACUUUUGGAAAAAGACUUCCAAAAAGUAGCCCACUUUAUCCACACAGGGUUAAAGCUAACCCCUGCAGAUCUACAGCAACGCUGGCACUGGAGCCACCCUGAAAGAGUUCAAGGAGAGACUGGCAGGGGAUAAAUACCAGGGGGGCGUGCAGGCUCUCUGGGAGGAGGUCGAGAGCUUCACUCUCUCUUCCCUCUGCCUGGCCUGCCUAACUUCUAAAGCAGCCGGCCCACCCUGGACGCACCUGGCGCCACAGAGGAAGCUGCCUGCUGGAGGACCCCCUUGAGAGAUGUACAAACUGCCCCACAAGGGACCUACUGGCGCUUCUGUCCUUUGAGGGGGCUUCUUUUGGACUUUUUUCAUGUUUUCUUCAUAAAUCAAAAUUUGUUUAAGUCUUAUUGUUAGUAAUUCUGGGACAGGUUAUUAGAAGUUUUUAAUUUGAACCUGGCUUUCUCACAGCUGGAUAAAAUUAUUCUAGAAAAAUAAAAUACUGUGUAGCCAUUUAGACCAUUUAGACCAUGGUGUAGGGCAAAGCUAUUAGAAAGCUAUUAGAAAGAUUCUAGCGUUUUCCUCUCCGUGGACUUUCCUUUGCCUUGCUGCAGCAGAGAGGAAAUGCCCCUGUCCACAGCUUGUACACACUGCCACUCUUACUAUCUUGUUACCCAGCAGCAUGCCAAAGGAGAACGGAAUUCGCCUCGAAGCCUCUGCUGUGUGCCGUAAAUCAGAAGUGUACAUUAGUCAAGUGUACACAAGGUGCACCCAGUAUGGUGGGAGGGUUUUGCUGUCAGUAGCUCAAAGUAUGGUGUAGAAAGGGUCUCCUCCCUCCAUCCUGGGGAAUCCCAGUCCCAUCCUGGUGUGAGAAUCAACCAUUCCUGCUCCACCUGAGAUAACCAACUCCCUCCCAUAAUCAGGAAACCAAAUGUCACCUUCCCAAAGAAA
Cercocebus atys (sooty mangabey) is the source of this 5821-nucleotide RNA transcript. It is a transcript of the gene named serine hydroxymethyltransferase, cytosolic pseudogene, with no coding region annotated. Lineage: Eukaryota; Metazoa; Chordata; Mammalia; Primates; Cercopithecidae. The record is from RefSeq and is a predicted model, not a curated record. The transcript has a single exon.